RNAcentral lists this ribosomal RNA (465 nucleotides) under uncultured bacterium. Its description in RNAcentral is "partial 16S ribosomal RNA". It matches the Rfam family "Bacterial small subunit ribosomal RNA", at positions 28 to 507 of the family's 1533-position model. The record is from RNAcentral.
GACGAACGCUGGCGGCGUGCUUAACACAUGCAAGUCGUACGGUAAGGCCCUUUCGGGGGUACACGAGUGGCGAACGGGUGCGUAACACGUGAGUAACCUGCCCACAACUUUGGGAUAACGCUAGGAAACUGGUGCUAAUACUGGAUAUGUGCUCCUGCUGCAUGGUGGGGGUUGGUAAGCUCCGGCGGUUGUGGAUGGACUAGCGGCCUAUCAGCUUGUUGGUUGGGUAGUGGCCUACCAAGGCGGCGACGGGUAGCCGGCCUGAGAGGGUGACCGGCCACAUUGGGACUGAGGUACGGCCCAGACGCCUACGGGAGGCAGCAGUGGGGAAUAUUGCACAAUGGGCGCAAGCCUGAUGCAGCAACGCCGCGUGCGGGAUGACGGGCUUCGGGUUGUAAACCGCUUUCAGCAGGGACGAAGCUUUUUGUGACGGUACCUGCAGAAGAAGCACCGGCUAACUACGUG